UGGCAGUGCCUUGCUAGCUGGCUGUUGAGAACUUGAUAUAUGAACAGUUGCUAGCUGCACUCCACA
RNAcentral lists this microRNA precursor (66 nucleotides) under Chrysemys picta bellii (western painted turtle). RNAcentral describes it as "Cpi-Mir-34-P3a_pre stem-loop". Lineage: Eukaryota; Metazoa; Chordata; Testudines; Emydidae. The record is from RNAcentral.